AGCAGUAGCCACGGUAAUACGGAGGAUCCGAGCGUUAUCCGGAAUUAUUGGGUUUAAAGGGUGCGUAGGCGGAUAGAUAAGUCAGUGGUGAAAGACGGUGGCUCAACCAUCGCAGUGCCGUUGAUACUGUUUAUCUUGAAUAUGGAUGAGGUAGGCGGAAUGUGGCAAGUAGCGGUGAAAUGCAUAGAUAUGCCACAGAACACCGAUUGCGAAGGCAGCUUACCAAGGCAAAAUUGACGCUGAGGCACGAAAGCGUGGGGAUCGAACAGGAUUAGAUACCCCUGUAGUCCCUGUCUCUUAUAC
Molecule: ribosomal RNA, 303 nt
Filed under: uncultured bacterium
Lineage: Bacteria
Description: partial 16S ribosomal RNA
Rfam family: Bacterial small subunit ribosomal RNA
Source: RNAcentral